CUUCCCACCUGGAAGCUGUGGACCCUGUGGUACAGGGGAAGACUAAGGCAGAACAGUUCUACCGUGGCGAUGCCCAGGGUAGGAAGGUCAUGUCCAUCUUGGUCCAUGGGGAUGCUGCCUUCGCUGGCCAGGGUGUUGUCUAUGAGACCUUCCAUCUGAGUGACCUGCCUUCCUACACCACCAAUGGCACAGUACAUGUUGUGGUUAACAACCAGAUUGGCUUUACCACAGACCCCAGAAUGGCUCGCUCCUCGCCUUACCCCACUGACGUGGCACGGGUGGUCAACGCACCCAUCUUCCA
This is a long non-coding RNA of Microtus ochrogaster (prairie vole), 301 nucleotides long. RefSeq lists it as uncharacterized. The record is from RefSeq and is a predicted model, not a curated record. The transcript is spliced from 3 exons. NCBI's taxonomy places the organism in Eukaryota, Metazoa, Chordata, Mammalia, Rodentia, Cricetidae.